AUGAUCAUCUACAGGGAUCUUAUCAGCCAUGGUCAUUAGAACAGAGGGUGCCAUUGAUGACUCACUCAUUGAUGGAAAUGCUUCCGCCAAAGGCCCGGAGGGUGAAGGUACCCAAAGCACUGUUGUCACCAGUGUUGACAUUGUCAUGAGCCAUCAUCACUUAUAAGAAACCAGCUUCACAAAAGAGGCCCAUAAAAAGUACAUCAAAGACUACAUGAAAUCACUCAAAGGCAAACUUCAAGAACAGGAACCGGAAAGAGUCGAGCUUUUUAUGACUGGAGCUGUGGAGCAAAUUAAGCACAUUCAGGCUAAUUUCAGUAGCUAUCAGUUUUUUAUUAGUGAAAGCAUGAAUCCAUAUGGUAUGGUUGUUCUCCUGGACUACCGUGGAGAUGGUGUGACUCCAUUCAUGAUUUUCUUUAAAGAUGGCUUAGAGAUG
Molecule: long non-coding RNA, 436 nt
Filed under: Mus musculus (house mouse)
Lineage: Eukaryota; Metazoa; Chordata; Mammalia; Rodentia; Muridae
Description: long non-coding RNA chr3:101233459-101233895
Source: RNAcentral